UAGUAUUAGAGGCAUGCCUGCCCAGUGACUGAGGUUAAACGGCCGCGGUAUUCUGACCGUGCAAAGGUAGCAUAAUCACUUGUUCCUUAAUUAGGGACUAGAAUGAACGGCUAAACGAGGGUUUAACUGUCUCUUAUUUUUCAUCCGUGAAACUGACCUUCCCGUGAAGAGGCGGGAAUAACAAAACUAGACGAGAAGACCCUAUGGAGCUUUAAUUUAUUAAUUUAAUUUCAACAAUCCACAAUCUAAUGAAAACAAAAUCUGAAAGCUAAAUUAAUGAUUUAGGUUGGGGUGACCUCGGAGAAUAAAACAACCUCCGAAAGAUUAUAAUCAAGGCUGACAAGUCAAAAUAAACACGCUUAUCACUAAUCGACCCAUUAAUUUUGAUCGACGGACCAAGUUACCCUAGGGAUAACAGCGCAAUCCUAUUUAAGAGUUCCUAUCGAAAAUAGGGUUUACGACCUCGAUGUUGGAUCAGGAUAUCCCAAUGGUGCAGCAGCUAUUAAUGGUUCGUUUGUUCAACGAUUAAAAUCCUACGUGAUCUG
RNAcentral lists this ribosomal RNA (545 nucleotides) under Meriones libycus (Libyan jird). Its description in RNAcentral is "partial 16S ribosomal RNA". It matches the Rfam family "Bacterial large subunit ribosomal RNA", at positions 1841 to 2607 of the family's 2925-position model. Lineage: Eukaryota; Metazoa; Chordata; Mammalia; Rodentia; Muridae. The record is from RNAcentral.